This 237-nucleotide long non-coding RNA is filed under the name Helianthus annuus (common sunflower). RNAcentral describes it as "sRNA HanXRQr2_Chr09g0402891". The record is from RNAcentral. Lineage: Eukaryota; Viridiplantae; Streptophyta; Magnoliopsida; Asterales; Asteraceae.
GGUUGAGCACUUGGUGUUGGUCGGGGCCAUGCUAUUGAUAUGCGAGCUCGGCUAUUGGUGCUCCUCUGCCUCCUGUAGCUACUUUUUUAUAUUUGGUUGGUUUUACAGCUAGCUACUGUUGUUCCUCUGCCUUCUGCAAGUAAACUUUUACUCAAAACAGGUAUAUCAUAAGAAUCUUUUGUAGAAUGGGUGCAUCGUGAAUAUUGAUUGCAAGUUUAUGCUUUUGAAUAUUAAUUC